Molecule: RNA transcript, 1469 nt
Organism: Helicoverpa zea (corn earworm)
Lineage: Eukaryota; Metazoa; Arthropoda; Insecta; Lepidoptera; Noctuidae
Gene: Rpn9
Gene name: 26S proteasome non-ATPase regulatory subunit 13
Exons: 10
Source: RefSeq, a predicted model, not a curated record
UCAUAACUAACUUCAUAUCAUUACAAGUAAUUCUGACAACAUGGCGACUGGGGUGAAAUUUUACAACGUUGAAGUAAACGAUUUUAUUGCCAGAAAACAGACAACUCAUCCAGAAUUGUCUGCGGAUUGGCUUAAAUUAGAAGAGCUGUACAACAAAAAACUAUGGCAUCAACUAACGUUGAAGAUUCAAGAGUUGGUGGAGAAGCCCAGCAUGCAGGAGGCCGAUCACCUCAUCACACUCUACACCAACUUCGUCAGCUUCUUUGAAAACAAAAUAAACCCUCUCUCCCUGGUGGAGAUCAUAGCGCAUGUGAUCAAGCAGUACACCAACAAGAAGGAAGCCAUCGCCUUCCUCGAGAAGAUUGAGACCAAAGUCAAGGCUAACGACGAGGCACUUGCACUUUGUAAGGUACUCCAAGGUCAGAUCUACCUAGAAGACCUAAAUGACCUGGACGCCACGGAGAAGAUCAUCGAAGAGUUAGAGGGCAGCCUGGAGGACGCCGACGGAGUCACACCUGUGCACGGACGGUUUUACAAACUCGCUUCUGAAUACUACAGAGUCCGUGGCCCCCUGGCCCGCUACUACCGCGCGGCGCUGCGCUACGUGGGCUGCGCGGGCGGCGGCUCGGCGCUGAGCCCCGCCGAGCGCCGCGACACCGCGCUGCGCCUCGCGCUCGCUGCCGUGCUCGCGCCCAAUGUCUACGAGCUGGGGGAACUGCUGGCACACCCGAUCCUGCAGUCUGUAGCGGGCACGAGCGACGCCUGGGCGCUGGAGCUGGUCCGAGCGGCUGCUUGCGGGGACGUGGCGCAGUUCGAGAGGGUCAGGGCUUCGGCCCCGCAUCCAGACCUGGCCAAUCCGAAGCCGCAUUUGAGGCAGAAGAUUGCUAUACUGUGUUUGAUGGAGAUGGCAUUCAGCCGCACAUCAGCGGCUCGCAAGCUGACGUUCGCGGAGAUCGCGCGCGAGGCCCGCGUGCCGCACGACGACGUCGAGCUGCUCGUCAUGAAGGCGCUAGCCGAGAACCUCAUACGAGGACAUAUUGAUCAGGUGAACAGCACGGCCCACAUCGGCUGGGUGCGGCCGCGAGCCCUGGGCCGGCCCGGCGCCGCAGCCCUAGCGCGCCGCCUCGACGCCUGGUGCUCCGCCGUCCGCGCCGCCACCGACCUGCUCGCCGGCGCCGCGCCAGACCUGCUCACCGCCUAGUGCCGGGUAUGUCACACCCCGCCCCGCGCCGCCACCGACCUGCUCGCCGGCGCCGCGCCAGACCUGCUCACUGCCUAGUGCCGGGUAUGUCACACCCCGCCCCGCUCCGCCACCGACCUGCUCGCCGGCGUCGCGCCAGACCUGCUCACCGCCUAGUGCCGGGCAUCGGGUUCCAGGGGGCGAAGUAGAGUUAAUUGUAUGGAAUGUUGAAAUCUUACUUCCGAAUACCUUAUUUACUUAUACCUAAUAUUAAAAAUUUAUUGUAAUA